GUUUGGGCACAGUUCUGAAACAAAAGGUACAAAGGAGCCAAGUUGUUGGGGCAGGGGGAGGGAAGAAAGUUGGUUUGAUUUUGAGAGGCUUGGAAGAUCAUUAAAAUUUCAUAACAGGCAGGGAAAAAAAAAAAAAAAGGUUGUUUGCUUCUAAGGUCUCUGGUGUUUAAAGAGCUCAAGACAAAACUGCCGAGCAGAAUAUUCCAGUUUAUCCCGUGGAAUAGGAAGGAAUGGCCCCAGAUGUAAUUACAAGAGAAAUUCACAGAGCCCAGUGCAAAGAGUGCAAAAGAGCCCAGAAGUGCCAGGGGCAAAAUGCGAUGGAUGAUUUCCAAUAUCACUGACUUCCCAAUCUGCUCCCACCCCUGGACAGAAAUCUUGGCUGCCUCAGGGAUGCAGUUUGCAACCUCUCUGCUCCAACAGUUUGACACCGACGGAAGAUGCGGAAGGACAAUCUGUGCCAGAUCUCUGCUCCACGCUGCAUCCAAAUGUGGUAAAACCCUGGAAAGCUCUGACGUAGGAGGGCCCUGCUUGUCCUGGUCUGAUCCUGAAUGACACUGACACCCACUGACUUCUCCCUGGAACAGAUGCUGCUUAGGAAAAACACCCAGAUCUGGAUAAACGAUAGGAAAAAAAAAGGUUUAUUUCCAAAAUACAGACUUUAAAUACAGGGCACUGGCAUGUGUGGUAGGGAUGGAACACAACAUUGACCAAAUUCCUCAUGUCCUGGCUUUAUUGCCCUACUGGAUAUGGAGAAAGGGAAAGAAUAAAGCCUUCCCAGGCAGGAAUAAAGCUCA
This 794-nucleotide long non-coding RNA is filed under the name Chloebia gouldiae (Gouldian finch). RNAcentral describes it as "Erythrura gouldiae (Gouldian finch) lncRNA (ENSEGOG00005007000.1)". The record is from RNAcentral. Lineage: Eukaryota; Metazoa; Chordata; Aves; Passeriformes; Passeridae.